Molecule: ribosomal RNA, 2859 nt
Filed under: Citrobacter sp.
Lineage: Bacteria; Pseudomonadati; Pseudomonadota; Gammaproteobacteria; Enterobacterales; Enterobacteriaceae
Description: 23S ribosomal RNA
Rfam family: Bacterial large subunit ribosomal RNA
Source: RNAcentral
GAUUAAGUUAUUAAGGGCGCACGGUGGAUGCCUUGGCACUAGAAGCCGAUGAAGGACGUUACUAACGACGAUAUGCUUUGGGUAGCUGUAAGUAAGCGUUGAUCCAGAGAUUUCCGAAUGGGGGAACCCAGCAUGAGUUAUGUCAUGUUAUCGACAUGUGAAUUUAUAGCAUGUCAGAAGGCAGACCCGGAGAACUGAAACAUCUUAGUACCCGGAGGAAGAGAAAGAAAAAUCGAUUCCCUGAGUAGCGGCGAGCGAAACGGGAAGAGCCCAAACCAACAAGCUUGCUUGUUGGGGUUGUAGGACACUCUAUACGGAGUUACAAAAGAACAUGUUAGACGAAUCAUCUGGAAAGAUGAAUCAAAGAAGGUAAUAAUCCUGUAGUCGAAAACAUAUUCUCUCUUGAGUGGAUCCUGAGUACGACGGAGCACGUGAAAUUCCGUCGGAAUCUGGGAGGACCAUCUCCUAAGGCUAAAUACUCUCUAGUGACCGAUAGUGAACCAGUACCGUGAGGGAAAGGUGAAAAGUACCCCGGAAGGGGAGUGAAAGAGAACUUGAAACCGUGUGCUUACAAGUAGUCAGAGCCCGUUAAUGGGUGAUGGCGUGCCUUUUGUAGAAUGAACCGGCGAGUUACGAUCUGAUGCAAGGUUAAGCAGCAAAUGUGGAGCCGCAGCGAAAGCGAGUCUGAAUAGGGCGUUGAGUAUUUGGUCGUAGACCCGAAACCAGGUGAUCUACCCUUGGUCAGGUUGAAGUUCAGGUAACACUGAAUGGAGGACCGAACCGACUUACGUUGAAAAGUGAGCGGAUGAACUGAGGGUAGCGGAGAAAUUCCAAUCGAACUUGGAGAUAGCUGGUUCUCUCCGAAAUAGCUUUAGGGCUAGCCUCAAGUGAUGAUUAUUGGAGGUAGAGCACUGUUUGGACGAGGGGCCCCUCUCGGGUUACCGAAUUCAGACAAACUCCGAAUGCCAAUUAAUUUAACUUGGGAGUCAGAACAUGGGUGAUAAGGUCCGUGUUCGAAAGGGAAACAGCCCAGACCACCAGCUAAGGUCCCAAAAUAUAUGUUAAGUGGAAAAGGAUGUGGCGUUGCCCAGACAACUAGGAUGUUGGCUUAGAAGCAGCCAUCAUUUAAAGAGUGCGUAAUAGCUCACUAGUCGAGUGACACUGCGCCGAAAAUGUACCGGGGCUAAACAUAUUACCGAAGCUGUGGAUUGUCCUUUGGACAAUGGUAGGAGAGCGUUCUAAGGGCGUCGAAGCAUGAUCGCAAGGACAUGUGGAGCGCUUAGAAGUGAGAAUGCCGGUGUGAGUAGCGAAAGACGGGUGAGAAUCCCGUCCACCGAUUGACUAAGGUUUCCAGAGGAAGGCUCGUCCGCUCUGGGUUAGUCGGGUCCUAAGCUGAGGCCGACAGGCGUAGGCGAUGGAUAACAGGUUGAUAUUCCUGUACCACCUAGUAUCGUUUUAAUCGAUGGGGGGACGCAGUAGGAUAGGCGAAGCGUGCUGUUGGAGUGCACGUCCAAGCAGUAAGGCUGAGUGUUAGGCAAAUCCGGCACUCAUAAGGCUGAGCUGUGAUGGGGAGAGGAAAUUGUUUCCUCGAGUCGUUGAUUUCACACUGCCGAGAAAAGCCUCUAGAUAGAUAACAGGUGCCCGUACCGCAAACCGACACAGGUAGUCAAGAUGAGAAUUCUAAGGUGAGCGAGCGAACUCUCGUUAAGGAACUCGGCAAAAUGACCCCGUAACUUCGGGAGAAGGGGUGCUCUUUAGGGUUCACGCCCAGAAGAGCCGCAGUGAAUAGGCCCAAGCGACUGUUUAUCAAAAACACAGGUCUCUGCUAAACCGUAAGGUGAUGUAUAGGGGCUGACGCCUGCCCGGUGCUGGAAGGUUAAGAGGAGUGGUUAGCUUCUGCGAAGCUACGAAUCGAAGCCCCAGUAAACGGCGGCCGUAACUAUAACGGUCCUAAGGUAGCGAAAUUCCUUGUCGGGUAAGUUCCGACCCGCACGAAAGGCGUAACGAUUUGGCAGGACGGAAAGACCCCGUGGAGCUUUACUGUAGCCUGAUAUUGAAAUUCGGCACAGCUUGUACAGGAUAGGUAGGAGCCUUUGAAACGUGAGCGCUAGCUUACGUGGAGGCGUUGGUGGGAUACUACCCUAGCUGUGUUGGCUUUCUAACCCGCACCACUUAUCGUGGUGGGAGACAGUGUCAGGCGGGCAGUUUGACUGGGGCGGUCGCCUCCUAAAAGGUAACGGAGGCGCUCAAAGGUUCCCUCAGAAUGGUUGGAAAUCAUUCAUAGAGUGUAAAGGCAUAAGGGAGCUUGACUGCGAGACCUACAAGUCGAGCAGGGUCGAAAGACGGACUUAGUGAUCCGGUGGUUCCGCAUGGAAGGGCCAUCGCUCAACGGAUAAAAGCUACCCCGGGGAUAACAGGCUUAUCUCCCCCAAGAGUUCACAUCGACGGGGAGGUUUGGCACCUCGAUGUCGGCUCAUCGCAUCCUGGGGCUGUAGUCGGUCCCAAGGGUUGGGCUGUUCGCCCAUUAAAGCGGUACGCGAGCUGGGUUCAGAACGUCGUGAGACAGUUCGGUCCCUAUCCGUCGUGGGCGUAGGAAAUUUGAGAGGAGCUGUCCUUAGUACGAGAGGACCGGGAUGGACAUACCUCUGGUGUACCAGUUGUCGUGCCAACGGCAUAGCUGGGUAGCUAUGUAUGGACGGGAUAAGUGCUGAAAGCAUCUAAGCAUGAAGCCCCCCUCAAGAUGAGAUUUCCCAACUUCGGUUAUAAGAUCCCUCGAAGAUGACGAGGUUAAUAGGUUCGAGGUGGAAGCGUGGUGACACGUGGAGCUGACGAAUACUAAUCGAUCGAAGACUUAAUCAA